RNAcentral lists this unclassified non-coding RNA (403 nucleotides) under fungal sp. RNAcentral's name for it is "partial internal transcribed spacer region". The stretch from base 1 to 46 matches the Rfam family "Eukaryotic small subunit ribosomal RNA", at positions 1786 to 1831 of the family's 1831-position model. Lineage: Eukaryota; Fungi. The record is from RNAcentral.
AAGUCGUAACAAGGUUUCCGUAGGUGAACCUGCGGAAGGAUCAUUAACACGUAUCCAACGUUAAACAACCCUGUGAACUUUCAGCCGCUCUUGUAGCCCUCGAGGAACAGCAAUCCCGGUAAAUCAUUGCCGAACAGUUUUGAUUCGGGACCUCUGUCCAAAAGGUAUCAAGUUACAAUUGAAGCGUAGGAGCAGUGGCAUGGCUUCCCCAAGCGGCUAGUGAAAUGACAUUGUCACUAGUUGUGUAAGGAUAACGCCUCACGGUUGCUAGAGGUCGAUCACCGGCCGGCAGACAUGUCACAGGGCUUUACGCCCCUUAACCACCCCUUGCAAUGCCCCGCCUAGAUGGUAACGCUAGGUAAAAAAAACCGAACAACUGUUAACAAUGGAUAUCUUGGUUCUC